GAUGAACGCUGGCGGCGUGCCUAAUACAUGCAAGUCGAGCGAACAGACGAGGAUCUUGCUCCUCUGACGUUAGCGGCGGACGGGUGAGUAACACGUGGAUAACCUACCUAUAAGACUGGGAUAACUUCGGGAAACCGGAGCUAAUACCGGAUAAUAUAUUGAACCGCAUGGUUCAAUAGUGAAAGACGGUUUUGCUGUCACUUAUAGAUGGAUCCGCGCCGCAUUAGCUAGUUGGUAAGGUAACGGCUUACCAAGGCAACGAUGCGUAGCCGACCUGGGAGGGUGAUCGGCCAAACUGGAACUGAGAAACGGUCCAGACUCCUACGGGAGGCAGCAGUAGGGAAUCUUCCGCAAUGGGCGAAAGCCUGACGGAGCAAAGGCGCGGGAGUGAUGAAGGUCUUCGGAUCGUAAAACUCUGUUAUUAGGGAAGAACAAAUGUGUAAGUAACUAUGCACGUCUUGACGGUACCUAAUCAGAAAGCCACGGCUAACUACGUG
Molecule: ribosomal RNA, 497 nt
Filed under: uncultured bacterium
Lineage: Bacteria
Description: partial 16S ribosomal RNA
Rfam family: Bacterial small subunit ribosomal RNA
Source: RNAcentral